AAAUGAAAGCUAGAUCAGCAAGUUUAUCCGCAACCAUGUUGCACCUUCUAUUCACAUAUGUGAGCAAAGGUCUGUAACCAUUUUGAGGAAUCAAUUCACAGUCUUGUAAAAUUGUUCCCAUAUAUAAGAUGAUGGGUUUUUUUUUUCCACGCUUGAACCAAAGCUUAACAGUCUGAUUCAAGACAUAAAGGCUGAAACAAAAGUUAUGCUGCCAACAGUAAAGUCCAUCUAAAAGCCAAACAUUCUGCUACUUUUGGAUCAUAUUCAUGACGCAGAAAUUUUGCUGCAGCAACCAAGACUUGACCCAUAUGAUUCCUGUACACAACUCCUAAACCAGUACCUAUAUUCCUGCCUACUGAGGCAUCAAAAUUAGCUUUAACCUGUUGGGGAACAUGUCCUUUUCAACUGUGUUCUAUUGUUGCUGCAACAGAUUGAAGUUGCUCAUUGUGCC
Molecule: long non-coding RNA, 451 nt
Filed under: Glycine max (soybean)
Lineage: Eukaryota; Viridiplantae; Streptophyta; Magnoliopsida; Fabales; Fabaceae
Description: long non-coding RNA (GMAX_LNC004475)
Source: RNAcentral